GACGAACGCUGGCGGCGUGCCUAAUACAUGCAAGUAGAACGCUGAAGAGAGGAGCUUGCUCUUCUUGGAUGAGUUGCGAACGGGUGAGUAACGCGUAGGUAACCUGCCUGGUAGCGGGGGAUAACUAUUGGAAACGAUAGCUAAUACCGCAUAAUAGUAGAUGUUGCAUGACAUUUGCUUAAAAGGUGCAAUUGCAUCACUACCAGAUGGACCUGCGUUGUAUUAGCUAGUUGGUGAGGUAACGGCUCACCAAGGCAACGAUACAUAGCCGACCUGAGAGGGUGAUCGGCCACACUGGGACUGAGACACGGCCAGACUCCUACGGGAGGCAGCAGUAGGGAAUCUUCGGCAAUGGACGGAAGUCUGACCGAGCAACGCCGCGUGAGUGAAGAAGGUUUUCGGAUCGUAAAGCUCUGUUGUAAGAGAAGAACGAGUGUGAGAGUGGAAAGUUCACACUGUGACGGUAUCUUACCAGAAGGGGACGGCUAACUACGUGC
This 497-nucleotide ribosomal RNA is filed under the name uncultured Streptococcus sp. RNAcentral's name for it is "bacterial SSU rRNA". It matches the Rfam family "Bacterial small subunit ribosomal RNA", at positions 28 to 508 of the family's 1533-position model. The record is from RNAcentral. Lineage: Bacteria; Bacillati; Bacillota; Bacilli; Lactobacillales; Streptococcaceae.